Oreochromis aureus is the source of this 1521-nucleotide long non-coding RNA. The record is from Ensembl. Lineage: Eukaryota; Metazoa; Chordata; Actinopteri; Cichliformes; Cichlidae.
UUCCUCUUCUUUUAUCUGUCAUCCUGCUGACUUCAGGCACUGCAGCGAUGUCUCCUCGCUUUCUGUAUUACUGUUAGACUGACGCCCUCUGCUGUUCCGAGAGAAUAAGAUUACAGUAAUUGCUGCUUUGGUAGCUCGACAUGGACCUCAUUUUAAUGUCAUGCAGAAAGUCAAAGACAUCCUUUCUACAGCAGCAGAAGUGCAUCACGCGGUACCAUUUUUCACAUUUCCUCUAAUUCUACUGGAAAGUCACCAGUGUGCACACAUGACAGUUACAUGAGUAUCUUGAACUGGAUAUGGUUUGAAUCCAAAAGAAGGCUAAAGUUCUUCAGUGAUAGGCAACAGAAAUGACCCCUAAUGCAAAGUCACCUCCUGAAAAAGCCAACGCUGCACAUACCAUUCAGGAGGUGAUGGAUGUGGAGGGAGUACAUCUAGAAGAAGGAACAGCGGAGACAUCCCAGGGUGAGGACUCUGAGCUGAGCUUGAGUUUUCAGGGCUAUGUCGCCGAGCUGCGGCAGUGCCAGAGCAAAAUGAGAAACGCCCAGAUGCCCCAGAACGGCCGCAACCCACCGGAGGGCCAGGACUGCAACACAGAUCUUUACAAGGCCACCAUCGUCUAAAGGGACCCCCCCUCCGCAACACCCCCACUGCUGCACUUUUAAAGCCUGAGCGACUGUUGUUUGAGGAGAUGUAGUCGAACAAUGUGCUGCAUGUACAAGUUGUCAGUUUUCUUUACUAAAGCAUCAAUGUUACGGUGAUGGAUAUUGUAUAUUUGUUUAAAAAAAGUUCAGGCAUCUUCUUGUUGACUUCUAGUACCGGUUGUAAUUUUGGGACAGUGAUAUGUUUUGUUAUUGGUAUGCUUUGAUAAUUAAAUACAUUGAGCCCAAAUAAUAAUACCACAGAAGAAGCCUGAAACUCACUUUGGGGUACCAGUUGCUAAUAGUUGUACACAAUUUAUGUGAAAUGACUGAGAAAUAGGACACUGCUUGAUAAGAAGCUGCUUAACAACUUCCUAACAAAAAAACACUGGCAGCCUUCUGGUGUUGGAAACCAAAAAGUGAAAGCUCAGGAAAACACUUGUUCAGGUUCUUGAUAACAAUUUCGAAACCAUCACCAAAUGAUUUAAUGAGCUGUUAAGCUGUUUGGGUAUAUUGAGUUUUACAUUAAAGUCCCGAUUAACUGUCUACCCAUUACCUUUUUCUGCUAGUCUUGCGCUAAGAAAAGUUGUGAGAUGCAACUGAAAUAGCAAUGAUAAUUUAAAAAUCUAGAAAGUAAAGCUUGACUUUUGUUUUACGUGUCCUGAUUAGAAAGUAGGACCACAUGCUAGGAGAGGACUCUUGGAUAUUUGACUAUUUCUUGUUCAUAUUGUCUUCCUGUGUUGUACAGAUGACACAUAACAGUACCUCUAUUGUCUGUACUUUCUGCUUCUGUGGUUGUGAGGUUGUCCAAAUUGUUGAACAAUUAAAAGGCUUCGAUGGCUCUACUUUCAACCAACUGUGUCUUCGCUUUUUUGCUUUCAUC